This 2058-nucleotide ribosomal RNA is filed under the name Triticum aestivum (bread wheat). Its description in RNAcentral is "partial small subunit ribosomal RNA". The record is from RNAcentral. Lineage: Eukaryota; Viridiplantae; Streptophyta; Magnoliopsida; Poales; Poaceae.
AUGGCUUCCUCUAGCACCGCUGCCGCCGCCGCAUCCGUCCUCAUCCCCAUAGCCAAAAAACUCCAUCGCUCCAACUUUAGUGUCUGGCGUGCGCAAGCCCUAGCCACCAUUCGCGGUGCCCAGCUAGUCUCCUACCUCGAUCCAGAGAGAGAGAUUCCGGCGCCCAAGCUUGUUGACAAGGACAGCAAGCCCACUGACAUUGCAAACUGCACCACGACGUCAGCAGCAUGGACUGCAAUCACAGAGAUAUUCAUCUCCCAGACACAGGCGGCCAUCGUUAACACGAGGAUCGCCCUCUCCACCACCAAGAAGGGGACUUCCACCAUCGCUGAGUACCUUGGCUGCAUGAAGGCCCUUGGCGAUGAGAUGGCUGCCAUCGGCAAGCCGCUCACCAACGAUGACAUGGUGUCGUACAUCCUCGUCGGACUCGACUUAGACUACAUGUCCUUCGUCUCCUCCGUCUGCGCUAGGACCGUCCCCAUCAAGCCCAACGAGCUCUACUCCCAGCUGAUCAGCUUCGAGAGCCGCCUCGCCAUGUUCGAGGGAAACUCAUUGUCAUCCCACUCCUCCGCCAACGCCGCCUCUCGCAACGGCCGUGGUGGCUUCACUCGUGGAGGCCGCGGCAGGAACGGAGGUGGCCGUGGCCAUGCUGGUGGCCGCAGCAAUGGACGCAACAGUGGCCGUGGCCAUGCAGGAGGCGGUGGCCGCGACGAUCUCCCGGAGGUCUUCUGUCAGAUCUGCAAGAAGUCAAAUCACAUGGCUAUCGAGUGCUACCGGCGCUUUGACAUCGCAUUCACCAAGGAGAAGAGUGCAAGCGCUGUAUUCCGGGUGCAGGCCAUGUUUCGUCGGGUAUUUGUCGCCGCCGGGACGUCCCUGUUACGCCGGUUCUGCAGCCAGUCCAUGGCGGCCGGGUCGCCGUCGAGGCCUGGUGGAGCAACCAUGUUACGCCGGUUCUACAGCCUGACGGCAACGGCCAGCUCGCCGUCAAGGCCUGCCGGAGCAACCCUGUUCCACCGGUUCCACAGCCAGACAACAGCGGCUGGGUCGCCGUGGAGGCCUGCGGGAGUAACCAUGGUACGCCGGUUCGGCAGCAAUGCUGCCGUGGCCGGGUCGCUGUCGAGGCCAGCCGGAGCAAGAAUGAUACGCCAGUUCUGCAGCCAGGCCGCGGUGGUCGGGUUGCGCCGGUUGUGCAGCCCUGCCACGGCGGCCGGGUCGCUGUCGAGGCCUGCAGGAGCUAGGAUGCUACAGCUACAAUUUCAGAGGAAAAUUGGGCAUGUUGCAGCUACCGCCGGCCACCGCUUCGGCUUCUUUCGCAGAUAUGCCAUGCCUAUGGUGAUGGUUGCCUUUGGUGUUGGGCUUUGGUGUAUGAAGAAGAAUGCAGAGCUUGCUGAGAGGGCUGCCCGUCCGUCAAAGGUUGAUUGGGUUGAAGCCGGAGUUGUCUCUCCGGUCGUGAGAAACCAAAAGGAUUGUGGGAGCUGUUGGGCCAUGGCAGUUGCAGCUUCGGUCGAGGCAGUAAAUUACCUCAAGACUUGGCGAUCAAUCAGGUUGUCAGUUCAAGAGCUCGUCGACUGCAACAUACAGAACUACGGGUGUAAUGGUGGCGACUACUGGUAUGCUUUCCGCUAUGUAAAGGAAAAUGGGCUCACAACAGAAUCUUCAUACCCAUACAAGGCUCGGCAGGGUAUAUGUCGCAAACUGGAUAAAAAAGUAGAAGGAAGGAUAUCGAACUUCCGCUAUGUCCGCCGAAACGAGGAUGCAUUGGAGAAAGCGGUAGCAAAGCAACCCGUGAUCGUCACUGUGCAAGGUGAUCAUUUGCAGUGGUACAACGGAGGCAUCAUGGACUACAAAUUUGAUAAAAGACUUACCGGCUGGCACGCUGUCUUGGUCGUCGGUUAUGGCACAGACUCCAGAGGUGUCAAGUACUGGCGCAUCAAGAAUUCAUGGGGAAAAAGUUGGGGUGAAGGGGGGUUUGGGAGGAUCCGAAGGUAUGUUGACGAUAAGAGAGGCGCUCUGGGCAUUUUCGUUUAUAGACCAGUAUAUCCUGUGCUUAGGACUUGA